CGACCCUGGUUUCUCUUCAUUACCACAAGCCUUUCGCCUUUUACUAAAGACUUCCGUGGAGAGGAACACUUACGAGUUCAACGUAUUUUUGGAAGGGCUUGUUAUCUUGUUU
RNAcentral lists this small nuclear RNA (112 nucleotides) under Salmo trutta (river trout). Its description in RNAcentral is "U5 spliceosomal RNA (ENSSTUG00000004160.1)". It matches the Rfam family "U5 spliceosomal RNA". Rfam says of the family: U5 RNA is a component of both types of known spliceosome. The precise function of this molecule is unknown, though it is known that the 5' loop is required for splice site selection and p220 binding, and that both the 3' stem-loop and the Sm site are important for Sm protein binding and cap methylation. Lineage: Eukaryota; Metazoa; Chordata; Actinopteri; Salmoniformes; Salmonidae. The record is from Rfam by way of RNAcentral.